Molecule: ribosomal RNA, 253 nt
Filed under: uncultured bacterium
Lineage: Bacteria
Description: partial 16S ribosomal RNA
Rfam family: Bacterial small subunit ribosomal RNA
Source: RNAcentral
CGGGUGAGUAACGCGUGAGUAACCUGCCUUCAAGAGGGGGAUAACAUUCUGAAAAGAAUGCUAAUACCGCAUGACAUAUCGGAACCACAUGGUUUUGAUAUCAAAGGUUUUAUCGCUUGAAGAUGGACUCGCGUCCGAUUAGUUAGUUGGUGAGGUAACGGCUCACCAAGACCGCGAUCGGUAGCCGGACUGAGAGGUUGAACGGCCACAUUGGGACUGAGACACGGCCCAGACUCCUACGGGAGGCAGCAUG